GAAACGACUCUCGGCAACGGAUAUCUCGGCUCACGCAUCGAUGAAGAACGUAGCAAAAUGCGAUACUUGGUGUGAAUUGCAGAAUCCCGUGAACCAUCGAGUUUUUGAACGCAAGUUGCGCCCGAAGCCAUCCGGUUGAGGGCACGCCUGCCUGGGCGUCUCGC
Molecule: ribosomal RNA, 164 nt
Filed under: Youngia erythrocarpa
Lineage: Eukaryota; Viridiplantae; Streptophyta; Magnoliopsida; Asterales; Asteraceae
Description: 5.8S ribosomal RNA
Rfam family: 5.8S ribosomal RNA
About the family: 5.8S ribosomal RNA (5.8S rRNA) is a component of the large subunit of the eukaryotic ribosome. It is transcribed by RNA polymerase I as part of the 45S precursor that also contains 18S and 28S rRNA.
Source: RNAcentral